GAUGAAGAACGUAGUGAAAUGCGAUAAGUAAUGUGAAUUGCAGAAUUCAGCGAAUCAUCGAAUCUUUGAACGCACAUUGCGCCCGCUAGUAUUCUGGCGGGCAUGCCUGUCCGAGCGUCAUUUCAACCCUCAAGCCCCCGGGCUUGGUGUUGGGGAUCGGCGAGCCUCCGCGCCCGCCGUCCCCUAAAUCUAGUGGCGGUCUCGCUGUAGCUUCCUCUGCGUAGUAGCACACCUCGCACUGGGAAACAGCGCGGCCACGCCGUUAAACCCCCAACUUCUGAACGUUUGACCUCGGAUCAGGUAGGAAUACCCGCUGAACUUAAGCAUAUCAAUAAGCGGAGGA
This 343-nucleotide unclassified non-coding RNA is filed under the name soil metagenome. RNAcentral's name for it is "partial contains 5.8S ribosomal RNA, internal transcribed spacer 2, and large subunit ribosomal RNA". The stretch from base 1 to 120 matches the Rfam family "5.8S ribosomal RNA", at positions 35 to 154 of the family's 154-position model. The record is from RNAcentral.